Molecule: transfer RNA, 60 nt
Filed under: Diaphanes sp. FM11
Lineage: Eukaryota; Metazoa; Arthropoda; Insecta; Coleoptera; Lampyridae
Description: tRNA-Cys
Source: RNAcentral
GGCUUUAUAUUCAAUUAUGAUUUUAAAUUGCAAAUUUAAAGGUGAUUACAUCUAAUGCCU